Collybiopsis luxurians FD-317 M1 is the source of this 96-nucleotide non-coding RNA. NCBI's taxonomy places the organism in Eukaryota, Fungi, Basidiomycota, Agaricomycetes, Agaricales, Omphalotaceae. The record is from the annotation of a GenBank genome assembly.
GGCCUGAUGGUCUAGGAGUAUGAUUCGUUGUUAGGGUUGCGCUACUGCUUGCCGGUCUUUUCGACGAGGUCCCGGGUUCAAUUCUCGGUCAGGCCC